Molecule: ribosomal RNA, 425 nt
Filed under: uncultured bacterium
Lineage: Bacteria
Description: partial 16S ribosomal RNA
Rfam family: Bacterial small subunit ribosomal RNA
Source: RNAcentral
GUGGGGAAUAUUGGGCAAUGGGCGAAAGCCUGACCCAGCAACGCCGCGUGAAGGAAGAAGGUUUUCGGAUCGUAAACUUCUAUCCUUGGUGAAGAUAAUGACGGUAGCCAAGAAGGAAGCCCCGGCUAACUACGUGCCAGCAGCCGCGGUAAUACGUAGGGGGCAAGCGUUGUCCGGAAUGAUUGGGCGUAAAGGGCGCGUAGGCGGCCUGGUAAGUCUGGAGUGAAAGUCCUGCUUUUAAGGUGGGAAUUGCUUUGGAUACUGUCGGGCUUGAGUGCAGGAGAGGUAAGCGGAAUUCCCGGUGUAGCGGUGAAAUGCGUAGAGAUCGGGAGGAACACCAGUGGCGAAGGCGGCUUACUGGACUGUAACUGACGCUGAGGCGCGAAAGUGUGGGGAGCAAACAGGAUUAGAAACCCGAGUAGUCC